CCUACGGGAGGCAGCAGUGGGGAAUUUUCCGCAAUGGGCGAAAGCCUGACGGAGCAAGACCGCGUGGGGGAGGAAGGCCUUUGGGUUGUAAACCCCUUUUGUCAGGGAAGAAGACAGUGACGGUACCUGACGAAUCAGCCUCGGCUAACUCCGUGCCAGCAGCCGCGGUAAUACGGAGGAGGCAAGCGUUAUCCGGAAUAAUUGGGCGUAAAGCGUCCGUAGGUGGCCCGGCAAGUCGGUUGUCAAAGACCUCAGCUCAACUGAGGAAAGGCAAGGGAAACUGCAAGGCUAGAGUGCGGUAGGGGUAGAGGGAAUUCCCAGUGUAGCGGUGAAAUGCGUAGAGAUUGGGAAGAACACCGGUGGCGAAAGCGCUCUACUGGGCCGCAACUGACACUCUUGGACGAAAGCUAGGGGAGCGAAUGGGAUUAGAUACCCUAGUA
Molecule: ribosomal RNA, 440 nt
Filed under: uncultured bacterium
Lineage: Bacteria
Description: bacterial SSU rRNA
Rfam family: Bacterial small subunit ribosomal RNA
Source: RNAcentral